RNAcentral lists this long non-coding RNA (224 nucleotides) under Malus domestica (apple). RNAcentral's name for it is "long non-coding RNA (MDOM_LNC020502)". The record is from RNAcentral. Lineage: Eukaryota; Viridiplantae; Streptophyta; Magnoliopsida; Rosales; Rosaceae.
UUUACAACAUACGUAUUAUUAUAAAAAUAUUUUGCCGCAAUAGUAAUUUGCUAAAGAAUUUCAAUUUUUGUUAAUUUGUAUUAGUCCUAAGAUAGCAAAUUUAGUAAUUUCUAAAUCCCAUCAAUUUAGAUUUUAUCGCCUACAGUGGUGGAAAGGUGUUGAGCCAUUACAUGACAGCGUGGGUUAAAACCCGUCAGUAGCUAAUCUAACAUCUAAUAUAACAA